AUGCAGUCGAGCGGAGAUGAGGUGCUUGCACCUUAUCUUAGCGGCGGACGGGUGAGUAAUGCUUAGGAAUCUGCCUAUUAGUGGGGGACAACAUUCCGAAAGGAAUGCUAAUACCGCAUACGCCCUACGGGGGAAAGCAGGGGAUCUUCGGACCUUGCGCUAAUAGAUGAGCCUAAGUCGGAUUAGCUAGUUGGUGGGGUAAAGGCCUACCAAGGCGACGAUCUGUAGCGGGUCUGAGAGGAUGAUCCGCCACACUGGGACUGAGACACGGCCCAGACUCCUACGGGAGGCAGCAGUGGGGAAUAUUGGACAAUGGGCGGAAGCCUGAUCCAGCCAUGCCGCGUGUGUGAAGAAGGCCUUUUGGUUGUAAAGCACUUUAAGCGAGGAGGAGGCUACUUAGAUUAAUACUCUAGGAUAGUGGACGUUACUCGCAGAAUAAGCACCGGCUAACUCUGUGCCAGCAGCCGCGGUAAUACAGAGGGUGCGAGCGUUAAUCGGAUUUACUGGGCGUAAAGCGUGCGUAGGCGGCUGAUUAAGUCGGAUGUGAAAUCCCUGAGCUUAACUUAGGAAUUGCAUUCGAUACUGGUCAGCUAGAGUAUGGGAGAGGAUGGUAGAAUUCCAGGUGUAGCGGUGAAAUGCGUAGAGAUCUGGAGGAAUACCGAUGGCGAAGCAGCCAUCUGGCCUAAUACUGACCGCUGAGGUACGAAAGCAUGGGGAGCAAACAGGAUUAGAUACCCUGGUAGUCCAUGCCGUAAACGAUUGUCUACUAGCCGUUGGGGC
RNAcentral lists this ribosomal RNA (780 nucleotides) under Acinetobacter sp. Its description in RNAcentral is "bacterial SSU rRNA". It matches the Rfam family "Bacterial small subunit ribosomal RNA", at positions 55 to 829 of the family's 1533-position model. Lineage: Bacteria; Pseudomonadati; Pseudomonadota; Gammaproteobacteria; Moraxellales; Moraxellaceae. The record is from RNAcentral.